Molecule: small nucleolar RNA, 138 nt
Organism: Tachyglossus aculeatus (Australian echidna)
Lineage: Eukaryota; Metazoa; Chordata; Mammalia; Monotremata; Tachyglossidae
Source: RefSeq, a predicted model, not a curated record
CACCUCUCAGGGUCACACCUGGAGAGUUUCCAGUACUCUACCAGUUUCAACUAUGGGAGGGAGAGUCAAGCACAGGCGUAUCCAUUUCAUUCCUAGCUUGGACAAUGUCUAGUGAGUGAAAAGCAAUCUGCUACAAGU